CUGACUCCAGCUUUAUGACAAUUAGUAUUGGGAGCGACCUCACGCGGCCUUUACCGGACGGCCCCCUCAGAACCGGCGUAUAAUCCCGUCGGGGGUGUGUGUGAGGCGGGAAGACGACCAUAGACUGUAUGCUGCAGACAGACGUUAGGUUCAUUACCGCCACCUACUGGGCUGGAGUUACCGGUGUGCCACAAAUUAGGGAACUGAGAAAGGAGCAGUGACAAGAAAGAAUGGAGUGGAAAAGACCGUCGCUACCAUUGCUCAGUGGAGUUCUACGUGCGGAGCAACGGAGCCAGUCGGCUAUUGUUUACUACCAACAGGAACCUCUUGAUCUCGUUGAGCUCUCCAAAACUGCUGGGAUGAGACAUGAUAUUCCGGAGGAAUUACUACGGAAGAGACGUAGAGGGAGAUGAGCUGGAGUAAAAGGGAACUGGAGGAACAGGGAGAGAGUUUGGAGAGAGCCUUAUAGACCGGCUCUUCCGCCUGUUAUCAUGGAAAAUAUUUGCUCCAUGACAAACAAGAUGGCAGAGCUUCAGACGCCCAUCAGGAGCCAAAGACUCUACCAGGAAAGCAGCCUCAUGUUUUUAAACGGAAACACGGCUGAAAGACUAUUACCAAGAACAACACCAGAAUCAACGGCUUCCAGACUAUAAGAGCGGACUGGAACGCUUCACCCUUUCAAGCUUGCCCCUCUUCCCUCCCCCACCAGCACUGGUGACCUCCAUCAGCUAGGUCCCACCUCUCCUCACUCCUUCUCUGUUGUCUCGAUUGUUUAUGUUGUUGUCGUUACAAAUAAUUUCCAUUUAAGGAUCAAUAAAGUGUAUAUUUUAUCUAUCUUAGUAUGUCCAAAUUAAAGUACUUCAUCAUGCUUGAUGGUCUUUGAGACAAAUACAGAGCGAAACAUAAGGUGUUCACACAGUGUGGUAAAAUAUGCCUUGGACUUGAUUGCAGAGACUGGUACUUACGAAAUGCAACAAGGAAGAGGCAGAAAAAAAUGAAAGCCAACUGAAACAAAUGUCAGGGACCUAAACAUUUUAAAUAGACACAGAAGUAAGACCACUGCUGAUAUUCAAGCAGAGAUUAAAGCUUCUAGAUCAGAAUCUGAAAAAGUCUCCAGAAUGACCAUAAGCAGAUGACUGAAGGAACAAGGCUUAAAGAGCAGAACAGCUGCUGAGAAACCAUUUUUGAGGAUGCAUUGCACCCACAGUGAAACAUCGUGGAGAUUCCAUUAUGGUAUGGGGUUCCAUUUGUGGAAACGGCAUGGAUAAAUUAGUUAAACUGAUGAUAUCCUGAACCAGAAGGUCUAUCACAACAUCUUGGUGCAUCAUGGAAUCUCUUCUGGAUUGAACCCGAUUGGUCGUGGGUUCAUAUACCAAGAAGACAAUGACCCCUACUUCAAAGCUGUGCAGAGACUACUGUACCAAGAAAAAGGAAUCUGGACUUCUGGAACUGAUGGACUGACAAAGUCAAAGCACAGACUUGAAUCCUGUUGAACAUAUCUGGGAUAUAUUGCAUUCAAAAAUAAAUUGCACAAAAGUUUCAUCCAAAGCAAGUCUCUGGGAGCUAGAAACUAUUUAGAGCUCAAUAACAAAGGAGAAUGUGAGAAAAGUACAUGAAAACAAUGCCAACAAGAAUGCAAAAUGUUAUCAGGGCCAAAGAAGGUCACACAAAAUAUUAAGAGUUGUGGUGAAUAUAUGCAAAUAAGGACUAGUUAGUUCUUCCAGUUUGUUGUUUGCCUCAUAAAUAAUACAAUUUUUAGCUUGAAACAAGUUUUUGACAGAUUUCUAUAAUAUCUGUGUUUUCUAAUUUUUAUGACAGAUGGUCGGAUAAAUUUGUUAAGCUCUGUAUAUUUUUCACUCUAAGAGGCUUUUUCCCCCCUGUGACUGGCAACAAUAGGAGCUUUAAAAAUGUACAGUACGGUGCCAGUCAGUGGCACACUUCAUAAGAAAAAAAAAAACAUAAAAUAUAAUUUUUUUUUGCAUUUAUGACCAAUAUUUGAACAUGCAUUGAGCAUUUGGCAAGUGUAGCCACUUUAAUAGAAGAGCCAACUGUAAGAGUUAAUUUGCACCAUCAUAUAUCUGGUUUGCAUUAUUGUAUCAAAGAAGGGGUGGACCAUUGAAUUCCAUAUAUGCAUGUAAAUACAUAUAAAAAACUUACAAAAUUUCAGGACUUGUGCUACAUUAUUCUCAAAUUAUAGGACUUCAAACAUUGCCCCACAGAUUAGUGCAACGAAAACAACACAAAAUUUGACUUGACCCCACGCUUCUUUAAGAAUGUUUCAUUCAAAAUUGAUGUUACCUAUGACUCCAGAUGUUCAAGACUUUAAAAAAAUAAGAAUUUAAAAAAAGUCAAAUUGAAGAUGGUCAGGCAUGGGACAUUCAUGAAUUGAGGAGAAAUGACCCUCAAAUCAGUUCAUCCUUGAAAUCAAGUAAACAUUUGUGUCAGAAUUGAAGAAAUUCCUCAAGGCUUUCCUGAGAUUAUAUCAUGCCUUUGACCACACCUGUCAGGAGGAGGCAUAGUGACUGUAAAUUAUAGUAUUUUCAAACAUUCAAUAAAAUUACCAUUAUUUAAUACACAUAGACAUUUAAUAGACAUAUCCAAUACUUUUGACAUCUUGUUUCUGUAGACCUACAGGUAUGUUUUUGCUGAGACAUGACCAGUUUUAUACUGAAUAGUGAUGUUACGAGACGUGCCGAGGCUUCGAAGCGCGUGCCGAGCAAUGGAGGGGGCGUGUCCAUGAAGCGCGUAUCGUGGCAUGCUUCAUUUAGGGGAGGAGCCAAAAAUGAUGAUGUUAGAAGCCUCGCAAGCCGGUCGUACCGCGUGACUGGUUCAGGAAGUGGUUCGCAGGUUUGACGUGCAAUUCAAAAUAUAAGGGGCAGUGAAACGCAAUGGAUUCCCCGUUCACAUUUGUUGGAUUUUUACCUGCUGUAUCUUUGCAUUCAAUUGGUUUGAGACUCUUUUUUUUAAUAGAACCAGCCAGAAAGAGAAGAUUCUCCCCUGUCUGGGAACACUUUGACCUGAUUUCUCCUAAUAAAGUAGGCACAUAACAAGUGAAGUGUAAUAUGAAUAACUGUGACAACACCACACAUCGCUUGUUCUAGUUUUUUUUCUGGUAUUUUAAAAGGUGAAGUGUCUGUUGUGUUCCAAAGAGCUAGAGAAAUCUUGUCCAAAAAAAAGAAGUCGCCUGAAUCCCAGCACUGUGGAAAAAUUGAUGUUUUUGAAUAAAAACAAAUAAAAUGUUGUCCCUA
Long non-coding RNA from Amphiprion ocellaris (clown anemonefish), 3248 nucleotides. RefSeq lists it as uncharacterized. The transcript is spliced from 3 exons. The record is from RefSeq and is a predicted model, not a curated record. NCBI's taxonomy places the organism in Eukaryota, Metazoa, Chordata, Actinopteri, Pomacentridae.